Molecule: ribosomal RNA, 236 nt
Filed under: uncultured bacterium
Lineage: Bacteria
Description: partial 16S ribosomal RNA
Rfam family: Bacterial small subunit ribosomal RNA
Source: RNAcentral
UCCUAGUGGCAAACGGGUGAGUAACACGUGGGUGACCUACCCCGGAGUGGGGAAUAACGACCCGAAAGGGUCGCUAAUACCGCAUACGCUCGAGAGAGUAAAGGUCCCGCAAGGGAUCGCUUUGGGACGGACCUGCGGCCCAUCAGGUAGUUGGUGAGGUAACGGCCCACCAAGCCAAUGACGGGUAGCUGAUCUGAGAGGAUGACCAGCCACACUGGCACUGAUACACGGGCCAG